GACGAACGCUGGCGGCGUGCUUAACACAUGCAAGUCGAACGGAAAGGCCCUGCUUUUGUGGGGUGCUCGAGUGGCGAACGGGGGAGUAACACGUGAGUAACCUGCCCUUGACUUUGGGAUAACUUCUGGAAACUGGGGCUAAUACCGGAUAGGAGCUCCUGCUGCACGGUGGGGGUUGGAAAGUUUCGGCGGUUGGGGAUGGUCUCGCGGGUUAUCAGCUUGUUUGGGAGGUAGUGGCUUACCAAGGCUUUGACGGGUAGGCGGCCUGGGAGGGUGGCCGGCCACAUUGGGACUACGAGACGGCCCAGACUCCUACAGGAGGCAGCAGUGGGGAAUAUUGCACAAUGGGCGGAAGCCUGAUGCAGCAACGCCGCGUGCGGGAUGACGGCCUUCGGGUUGUAAACCGCUUUCGCCUGUGACGAAGCGUGAGUGACGGUAAUGGGUAAAGAAGCACCGGCUAACUACGUG
This 468-nucleotide ribosomal RNA is filed under the name uncultured bacterium. RNAcentral describes it as "partial 16S ribosomal RNA". It matches the Rfam family "Bacterial small subunit ribosomal RNA", at positions 28 to 507 of the family's 1533-position model. The record is from RNAcentral.